GGCUCAGUUGGAGGAGUGUGCAACCCGUGAUCUUUUGGGUUGUGAGUUUGAGCCCCACACUGGCAUAGACUUUACCUAAAAAUAAGUAAAAUAAAAAAACAAAAACAAAAAAAAGGAAAGGGUAAGGGAUGAGAAGCUUGGGAGGAAAAACAGUUGUGAAGGCAGAAUAAACACUCUUCCAUGUGAUCCUUAUGGUUAUCACAGUGUGGAGUUGUUGAAGGAACCAGAAAAAGAAAAAAAAAAGAAGGUUGUCCGUCCUUUUGAAUGUAUUUCAUUUAAAAAUAAAAACGGCCUAACGGUAGUCAUUGUUUUUGCAGGUUUUCUUUCUCUCAAAGCACUUUAUUUUCAGUUUUUACCCCGAUUCUAUCAGUAUGAGAAAAGGACCAGCCCCGGCCCCCUGCCCACCUCUCCCCACCGUCAGCACCUGCACCCUGGAACUGUUCUCUGUCUACGCAGCUGGCUUCUGCACCUGGUCCCCAGGUUUCAGCGUGGGCAUUGCUUGCUGGUGGGGUGCCGUGGGACUGGGACCGGCAGGUGCGGUGGAGGCCUCACCAUGGGGCCCCUGCAGAGUGGCCCUGUUUCUCUGCUCACCCGAUUUUCAGGUAUUGGGCAUUUGGAUAGCUACGACUAUGGAAAUAGGAGUUUCUGUGUACAAGGUCUAAUUUACCCCCAAACUCUUUCCCAGCAACACGUAUCUCUUAAAACAUCAGGUAGGUAGGGGUUCAUCUUUUCUUUGGGAGCCCCCUCCUGGUCCCUUGUCCUUCUCCUGCUGGGACGGGCUGCUGCCUGGCACGGGGCCCCCCACUUUCCUCCUGGUCCCCUUCCCCAUCAUCUUGGGCCACCCUUUCCCCCUCCUGCUUUGGAUCCCUGUCUCCUGAAUUCUGCGAUUUUGUCUUUCUCUCAUUUGGGGAAUCUCCUCCAGUAGCUUCCUGAUAAAGAUGGUUGCCGAGCAUAGAAUUCUAGAAUUCCACCCUCGCAAGUCAAAGACGUGGCUCCGCUGGUCAAGGACAGUCUCGUUUCCCAUCCUUUGCCGUUUCUCUGUGACACCGUUUAGAGCCCUGAUCUUCGCCUCCUGUUCUCCGGGAUCGUGACGGUUCUCCUCGGGGAGUCAAAAUGCAUGGCUUUCAUCCACUUUCAACACAUAAAAGAUGUUUUCAACACAGAAAGGCCUUUCACCGCUCUUAAUAGUCAGCUUUUGGAAAGAUGUGGACUAGAAUGAAAAAUGAGGAUGAACACCUCUGAAAUCAGCUGUUUUGAAUUAAAUAAAGCAGAGUGAGGUUGGAGUCAGGUGAAGCGAGAAGAUGGCAUUUAGCCAGUGAGGAUUAAUACGCCGGCUCCUUUAAGCCGAGGGACCGUCUUCUCUGAAAUGUGUGAGGGGUGGACAGGGCUUGUCUGCCCCUCUCCCCCCCACUUCUGCCCCAACAGGGCUGUCGCCCCCUUACCUCGACUUGGCUCGGGAUGACUUCAUCCUUCCCAUGGCUUUGCAUAAUUGCGAGGAGGUGUUCUGGGGGUUUUUUCGCGGGGAUUUUUCCCCCCUUAGCUGUAGUUCCGGGUGCUUUUCGGAGACCCGCUUCACCGGGCUGGCUUAGCAAGUGAGGAUUCCGGGUCCGGGAGCGAGUUGUCUGAAUGUCCGGGGCGGGUGAGCACCUGGAGGCCCUCUCGGCUCCGUGGGCGUCUGCAGGUGUUUUGGGUGGGUCGAGUGCCCCUGUCCCCUUUCUCCACGUGGAGCAUGGUGGCCUGGAUGUCGUGUAUCCAGCGGGACCCCUAGCCAGCUUUGCACGGAGACUAUGGGAACGGGACUAAAGUCACGAAAUGUCCUUGCAGGACCUGUUGACCUGACCUCUGUCUCGGUGGAGCAGUGGGGGUCCCUAGUCUGACCCCGAAGGUGGCAGAGGCGAUCUUCCCUUGCUCGAGGCCAGCUGUUAAUGAACUUCAACACAGAAGGGAGUUCUCUUCUCCAUUCUGGGUGGGGACUAGUAAAAUGCCUUUGGCCAGCUGGUAGAACUAAGUCCUGGGAAAUUCUGGAACCUCCAGCGCAGUCGACUUGGAGUGAACCGUGUGGACAGCAGUGAAUUUGCCCCCCUACGUGUUUUCUCCAGUCAGGCUCGUCCCUCGUGGUGGGCACCUGGUGCUGGUGGUUUUUACAGGAGCCGAGUGCCCCCUUCCUUGGAGCCAGCCUUUGCCUGGGCGUGGUCUUGUCGGCCACUCAGGGCCGUUCCAGAUAGUGCGGCCCUUCAGGGGUCAGGUCAGGCAUCUGUGGCCCCGGGCCAGCAUUUUAACCGAAUGCCCGGAGUGCACAGCCCAGGCCCUCCACUCAGUGCAGUGCUCGGGCCAGAACAGAGUAUUUUGAACACUGGACACUGUGUCUCAGUUGUUACACCCGGGAGCAGGACUCAUUACCAGGGAGCUUGAAUUUAAGAAAAAAAAAAUGCCGUUAUCUAGAUUCCUCAAGGUUACGACAAAGCUGAAGCAGCUUGUUACCAAGCAAAUGGACAGAAGUGUCGCCAGAAGCAUUUCAGUUUCUGUUUUUGGGGUAGUGGUGGCAGGGGUUCCAUCUCAGAGGCUGACUUGGGUUUGCUUCAGUUGGUUUUACUUCCUUCAGGACGCAGGUCUGGUGUUCCUUCCCGCGCGUAAGAGAGCACCCCCUCCCGGCCCCUCCCUGGACUUUUUCUUCUUCAUUGACUUAUCAGUCACGUGAGCCACUAUUUAUAAAGUCUGUCCCCUCCCUCCCCCACUCCCCCCACCAUGUGAACCGAGGCUGCUUAAUGAAGGUACACCUUGGCCCCUAGUAUGGGAAUGGCUUUUUAAUCCCAAGAACGUCUUGCUAUUUAUUCCUGGACCGUGGAAACCAGUACACUGCCCCCUUUUUUUUUUUUUUUUUUUCUUUCUCCCCUUGAAGAAAUCCAGUAACCCUAGGCUUUCUAGAUCCAAAGUGGGUCAGAUGGCUAAUGAUUGAAGAUGGAUUGGCGUCCAGUGUCUUUGGAAACCUAAAGCUGGACUCGGGCUGCAUUCGUGUUUCUCUUCCUCUCGUCAAAGCGCCUCCAAUGGCAGCUGACUUUGCAGUCACUGUGCACUGGGGGUAAGCCAAGCCCCAGCCGCUGGAGACCGGGUGGCCCUGCCUCCACCUGAGCUGGGAGGGAGGCGGGUCUAUGAUUAACUCGGUGAUGUCUUCAAUGUGAUUGCUGGGGGCUGAAAACAUUAACUUUUACAAAAUGAUUUAAAAUUACCAAUUGACCAUAUCCGGGGCUGAACCUGCAUGAUUCAGCUCCUUUUAAAAAUAUCUUUUCUCAACAAAUUGCUUCCUUAACAUUUUAAUUUGUUGAUCAUAAAGGAAGCUUGCCAAAUAUUAGCUGGUCUUUUCCAUUUCCUGCAGCUCCGAGCUUCCCUUAUUUGGCAUAUUUCAGUGGAACUGUAAGGUCACUCCCUAGUUCUCUUCCCAAAGAACUGUAUUUAUUACUGUCAAGUAUUGGCGGGUUUGAUCCAGCUGUCAUCAGAACGUUUGGAAAUAUUGUUUUUUGCCAGAAUGCUGAUUUAAUGAUCUAAUACUGACAUGGCUUGUUUUCUCCGCCGAUUUGAUAACUUACUUGUUCAAUAAACUCCCCUCUUAGUGA
Long non-coding RNA from Felis catus (domestic cat), 3611 nucleotides. RefSeq lists it as uncharacterized. The record is from RefSeq and is a predicted model, not a curated record. The transcript has 2 exons. NCBI's taxonomy places the organism in Eukaryota, Metazoa, Chordata, Mammalia, Carnivora, Felidae.